UCAUUAUACUGAUAUUGAUUUGGGUGA
Molecule: non-coding RNA, 27 nt
Filed under: Bombyx mori (domestic silkworm)
Lineage: Eukaryota; Metazoa; Arthropoda; Insecta; Lepidoptera; Bombycidae
Source: RNAcentral